Molecule: long non-coding RNA, 205 nt
Filed under: Elaeis guineensis (African oil palm)
Lineage: Eukaryota; Viridiplantae; Streptophyta; Magnoliopsida; Arecales; Arecaceae
Description: long non-coding RNA (EGUI_LNC036861)
Source: RNAcentral
AGUGGUAAAUCAUAUCCUUUCUUCUUUGCUUUAUAUCAUUAUUAAUAAGAAUCUGAAGAAUUGAAAUGAAUGUUUAGCCUAUGUUGAGUUUGCUUACAACCGUAGUGUUCAUGGUGCUACUAAGCAUUCUCCUUUUAAGGUGGUUUAUGGAUUCAAUCCUAUCACCCCACUUAAUUUGGCACUACUUCUAAUCAGCGAGUGGGUU